UACGUAGGGUGCGAGCGUUAAUCGGAAUUACUGGGCGUAAAGCGUGCGCAGGCGGUUUUGUAAGCCAGAUGUGAAAUCCCCGGGCUUAACCUGGGAAUGGCAUUUGGGACUGCAAGGCUGGAGUGUGGCAGAGGAGACUGGAAUUCCCGGUGUAGCAGUGAAAUGCGUAGAUAUCGGGAGGAAUACCGAUGGCGAAGGCAGGUCUCUGGGCUGACACUGACGCUGAGGCGCGAAAGCGUGGGGAGCAAACAGG
This 253-nucleotide ribosomal RNA is filed under the name uncultured bacterium. RNAcentral describes it as "partial 16S ribosomal RNA". It matches the Rfam family "Bacterial small subunit ribosomal RNA", at positions 524 to 776 of the family's 1533-position model. The record is from RNAcentral.